This 251-nucleotide ribosomal RNA is filed under the name uncultured bacterium. Its description in RNAcentral is "partial 16S ribosomal RNA". It matches the Rfam family "Bacterial small subunit ribosomal RNA", at positions 524 to 776 of the family's 1533-position model. The record is from RNAcentral.
GACGGGGGGGGCAAGUGUUCUUCGGAAUGACUGGGCGUAAAGGGCACGUAGGCGGUGAAUCGGGUUGAAAGUGAAAGUCGCCAAAAACUGGCGGAAGACUCUCGAAACCAAUUCACUUGAGUGAGACAGAGGAGAGUGGAAUUUCGUGUGUAGGGGUGAAAUCCGGAGAUCUACGAAGGAACGCCAAAAGCGAAGGCAGCUCUCUGGGUCCCUACCGACGCUGGAGUGCGAAAGCGUGGGGAGCAAACAGG